CAAGUCGAGCGGACCCGCAAGGGUUAGCGGCGAACGGGUGAGUAAUGAUACGGAACGUGCCCCCGAACUCAGGAAUAAGCACCCGAAAGGCUGUCUAAUGCCCGAUAGUCCCCCGGUUUAACMCCGGGGGUAAAGAUUUAUCGGUUCGGGAGCGGCCGUAUUCCCAUCAGCUAGUUGGUAAGGUAAUGGCUUACCAAGGCGACGACGGGUAGCUGGCGUGAGAGCGCGACCAGCCMCAGUGGAACUGAGACACGGUCCMCACUCCUACGGGAGGCAGCAGUUAGGAAUCUUGCACAAUGGGCGAAAGCCUGAUGCAGCGACACCGCGUGGAGGAUGAAGGUAUUCGUAUCGUAAACUCCUUUUCCCUGGGACGAUUAUGACGGUACCAGGGGAAUAAGCACCGG
This 404-nucleotide ribosomal RNA is filed under the name uncultured bacterium. RNAcentral describes it as "bacterial SSU rRNA". It matches the Rfam family "Bacterial small subunit ribosomal RNA", at positions 58 to 496 of the family's 1533-position model. The record is from RNAcentral.